This 995-nucleotide ribosomal RNA is filed under the name Listeria monocytogenes. RNAcentral's name for it is "partial 23S ribosomal RNA". It matches the Rfam family "Bacterial large subunit ribosomal RNA", at positions 202 to 1193 of the family's 2925-position model. The record is from RNAcentral. Lineage: Bacteria; Bacillati; Bacillota; Bacilli; Caryophanales; Listeriaceae.
CUAAGUACCUGGAGGAAGAGAAAGAAAAAUCGAUUUCCUGAGUAGCGGCGAGCGAAACGGAAAGAGCCCAAACCAAGAAGCUUGCUUCUUGGGGUUGUAGGACACUCUAUACGGAGUUACAAAAGAAAGUUAUAAAUGAAGCGGUCUGGAAAGGCCCGCCAAAGACGGUAACAGCCCGGUAGUUGAAAUGGCUUUCCCUCCAGAGUGGAUCCUGAGUACGGCGGAACACGUGAAAUUCCGUCGGAAUCCGGGAGGACCAUCUCCCAAGGCUAAAUACUCCCUAGUGACCGAUAGUGAACCAGUACCGUGAGGGAAAGGUGAAAAGCACCCCGGAAGGGGAGUGAAACAGUUCCUGAAACCGUGUGCCUACAAGUAGUUAGAGCCCGUUAAUGGGUGAUAGCGUGCCUUUUGUAGAAUGAACCGGCGAGUUACGAUUUGUUGCAAGGUUAAGCGGAAAAAGCGGAGCCGUAGCGAAAGCGAGUCUGAAUAGGGCGCAUAAGUAACAGGUCGUAGACCCGAAACCAGGUGAUCUACCCAUGUCCAGGAUGAAGGUAAGGUAAUACUUACUGGAGGUCCGAACCCACGCACGUUGAAAAGUGCGGGGAUGAGGUGUGGGUAGCGGAGAAAUUCCAAUCGAACUUGGAGAUAGCUGGUUCUCUCCGAAAUAGCUUUAGGGCUAGCCUCGAGGUAAAGAGUCAUGGAGGUAGAGCACUGUUUGGACUAGGGGCCCUUCUCGGGUUACCGAAUUCAGAUAAACUCCGAAUGCCAUGUACUUAUACUCGGGAGUCAGACUGCGAGUGAUAAGAUCCGUAGUCGAAAGGGAAACAGCCCAGACCACCAGUUAAGGUCCCCAAAUAUAUGUUAAGUGGAAAAGGAUGUGGGGUUGCUUAGACAACCAGGAUGUUGGCUUAGAAGCAGCCACCAUUGAAAGAGUGCGUAAUAGCUCACUGGUCGAGUGACCCCGCGCCGAAAAUGUACCGGGGCUAAACAUAUUA